RNAcentral lists this transfer RNA (68 nucleotides) under Taenia sp. MZH:127001. RNAcentral describes it as "tRNA-Asp". Lineage: Eukaryota; Metazoa; Platyhelminthes; Cestoda; Cyclophyllidea; Taeniidae. The record is from RNAcentral.
GUGGUUUUAGUUUAAUUAAAAUGGUGAUUUGUCUAGUCAUAGAUGGUAAUUUUGGUAACCAAGCCACU